This 303-nucleotide long non-coding RNA is filed under the name Eutrema salsugineum. RNAcentral's name for it is "long non-coding RNA (ESAL_LNC000276)". The record is from RNAcentral. Lineage: Eukaryota; Viridiplantae; Streptophyta; Magnoliopsida; Brassicales; Brassicaceae.
ACUCUUACAACUUUCGUUGUUGGUGAUGGAAAAGGGGCGAAGAUUUCCGCACUUGGCGAUCUCAUAGAGCUUCGCGGAGAACUUACCAUUCUUGAGCUGCAUAGAGUUGGGGAUGUCAGGGAUGCAGAAGAAGCAAAUUUGGAGACCAAGAUCCAUCUAAAAGUGAUAGAUUUUACCUGGAGAACAUCGGGUCCUCUCUAUAACCAAAUCUCAGGGAAGCUGAACGAAGACGCGAUCUUUGAGAAGUUACGUCCACAUAACAAGAUAGAGGCACUCACCAUAACAAAAUAUUAUGGAAAUAGU